AUGAAUAUUGCCCUUCUAUCCCGGUGGCUGUGGCGUAUCACGCAGGGUCAUGGUGGCCUCUGGCUGGACAUUAUCCGAAAUAAGUACCUGCGCGGCCAACCCCUUGCCUUCUGCCAGAAAUCGGGAGGUUCUCAGUUCUGGCAGUCCCUCGUCCAGCUCCUUCCUAUGCUCCACAUUGGUACCUCUAUCUCGGUGGGGUCCGGCCUCUCGACGCUCUUC
This 219-nucleotide ribosomal RNA is filed under the name Triticum aestivum (bread wheat). RNAcentral describes it as "partial small subunit ribosomal RNA". Lineage: Eukaryota; Viridiplantae; Streptophyta; Magnoliopsida; Poales; Poaceae. The record is from RNAcentral.